GUCUCAGUAGUUUAAGGUAAAACACUAGUCUUGUAAACUAGAAAUAAUGUAAAUUUUGAGACA
RNAcentral lists this transfer RNA (63 nucleotides) under Daphnia similis. RNAcentral's name for it is "tRNA-Thr". It matches the Rfam family "tRNA". Rfam says of the family: Transfer RNA (tRNA) molecules are approximately 80 nucleotides in length. Their secondary structure includes four short double-helical elements and three loops (D, anti-codon, and T loops). Lineage: Eukaryota; Metazoa; Arthropoda; Branchiopoda; Diplostraca; Daphniidae. The record is from RNAcentral.